RYUAAUGUAGCUUAAUAAUAAAGCAAAGCACUGAAAAUGCUUAGAUGGAUUUCCUAUCCCAUAAACA
RNAcentral lists this transfer RNA (67 nucleotides) under Aethomys nyikae (Nyika rock rat). Its description in RNAcentral is "tRNA-Phe". The record is from RNAcentral. Lineage: Eukaryota; Metazoa; Chordata; Mammalia; Rodentia; Muridae.